UAGGGAAUUUUCCACAAUGGGCGAAAGCCUGAUGGAGCAACGCCGCGUGCAGGAGGAAGGCCUUCGGGUUGUAAACUGCUUUUAUCUGUGACGAUUAUGACGGUAGCAGAUGAAUAAGGAUCGGCUAACUCCGUGCCAGCAGCCGCGGUCAUACGGAGGAUCCAAGCGUUAUCCGGAAUUACUGGGCGUAAAGAGUUGCGUAGGUGGCAUAGCAAGCAGAUAGUGAAAGGCUACGGCUUAACCGUAGAUACAUUAUCUGAACUGCUAAGCUUGAGCAUAAGAGAGGUACCUGGAAUUCCCAGUGUAGGAGUGAAAUCCGUAGAUAUUGGGAGGAACACCGAUGGCGUAGGCAGGGUACUAGCUUAUUGCUGACACUAAGGCACGAAAGCGUGGGGAGCGAACGGGAUUAGAUACCCCCGUAGUCC
This 425-nucleotide ribosomal RNA is filed under the name uncultured bacterium. RNAcentral describes it as "bacterial SSU rRNA". It matches the Rfam family "Bacterial small subunit ribosomal RNA", at positions 355 to 796 of the family's 1533-position model. The record is from RNAcentral.